RNAcentral lists this ribosomal RNA (750 nucleotides) under Klebsiella grimontii. RNAcentral's name for it is "partial 23S ribosomal RNA". It matches the Rfam family "Bacterial large subunit ribosomal RNA", at positions 2181 to 2925 of the family's 2925-position model. Lineage: Bacteria; Pseudomonadati; Pseudomonadota; Gammaproteobacteria; Enterobacterales; Enterobacteriaceae. The record is from RNAcentral.
UGGAGCCAUCCUUGAAAUACCACCCUUUAAUGGCUGGUGUUCUAACGUGGGCCCGUUAUCCGGGUUGCGGACAGUGUCUGGUGGGUAGUUUGACUGGGGCGGUCUCCUCCUAAAGAGUAACGGAGGAGCACGAAGGUCAGCUAAUCCUGGUCGGACAUCAGGAGGUUAGUGCAAUGGCAUAAGCUGGCUUGACUGCGAGCGUGACGGCGCGAGCAGGUGCGAAAGCAGGUCAUAGUGAUCCGGUGGUUCUGAAUGGAAGGGCCAUCGCUCAACGGAUAAAAGGUACUCCGGGGAUAACAGGCUGAUACCGCCCAAGAGUUCAUAUCGACGGCGGUGUUUGGCACCUCGAUGUCGGCUCAUCACAUCCUGGGGCUGAAGUAGGUCCCAAGGGUAUGGCUGUUCGCCAUUUAAAGUGGUACGCGAGCUGGGUUUAGAACGUCGUGAGACAGUUCGGUCCCUAUCUGCCGUGGGCGCUGGAGAAUUGAGGGGGGCUGCUCCUAGUACGAGAGGACCGGAGUGGACGCAUCACUGGUGUUCGGGUUGUCAUGCCAAUGGCAUUGCCCGGUAGCUAAAUGCGGAAGAGAUAAGUGCUGAAAGCAUCUAAGCACGAAACUUGCCCCGAGAUGAGUUCUCCCUGACUCCUUGAGAGUCCUGAAGGAACGUUGAAGACGACGACGUUGAUAGGCCGGGUGUGUAAGCGCAGCGAUGCGUUGAGCUAACCGGUACUAAUGAACCGUGAGGCUUAACCUU